Molecule: long non-coding RNA, 545 nt
Filed under: Parus major (Great Tit)
Lineage: Eukaryota; Metazoa; Chordata; Aves; Passeriformes; Paridae
Description: lncRNA (ENSPMJG00000004880.1)
Source: RNAcentral
UCUCUAAAAGGUACAAGACAUAAACUACUUUCAGCAAGUCCAAAUGAAGAGGUCAAGACCAAAUUUCCAAGCCGAAAGUUAUAAAUACAUCAUCUUGCCUAAGGAGAUUUUGAAGCAGAUCCCGUAGCAGCCAGACUUCUGAGUCUUUCAUGCUUUCCUGUGUGACACAGGGGACACCUGUGCUGUGAGGGAGGAGGACGAAUGAGUACGCCCACUCUUUGCAAGCUGGAAUCUCAAUGGACAAUCCUCAUAGCUGGUCAUACCAAGCCUGCAGCAAAUUUUUAGCUUUGCACAGCAAUGGGUUGUAGCCAGACAGUGUGAGCUGAACAUUCGCACUGCUCCUAAGGUUUAAUUUCAAGGUUAAAUUUUGAGUUCAGACCAGUUGUCAGCCUGCUGAUUUUUAACUUGAUUGGAGACGGACAUUUCUCAAGUUGCUGAAAAACCUCCAAUGAAAGCACUGAUACAAUUUAUCCAAACUAAAUUCAAUAGACAUAAGCCAACACAGUUGACAGACAGAACUAAAUAAAAUAUUUAGUAACAGCCCA